RNAcentral lists this ribosomal RNA (618 nucleotides) under uncultured bacterium. Its description in RNAcentral is "bacterial SSU rRNA". It matches the Rfam family "Bacterial small subunit ribosomal RNA", at positions 67 to 731 of the family's 1533-position model. The record is from RNAcentral.
CGGGCUCUUCGGAGCUAGUGGCAGACGGGUGAGUAACGCGUGGGAACCUACCUAUAAGUACGGAACAACACAGAGAAAUUUGUGCUAAUACCGUAUGUGCCCUUUGGGGUAAAGAUUUAUCGCUUAUAGAUGGGCCCGCGUUAGAUUAGCUAGUUGGUGAGGUAAUGGCUCACCAAGGCGACGAUCUAUAGCUGGUCUGAGAGGAUGAUCAGCCACACUGGGACUGAGACACGGCCCAGACUCCUACGGGAGGCAGCAGUGAGGAAUAUUGGACAAUGGGGGCAACCCUGAUCCAGCCAUGCCGCGUGAGUGAUGACGGCCUUAGGGUUGUAAAGCUCUUUCGCUAGGGAAGAUAAUGACGGUACCUAGUAAAGAAGCCCCGGCUAACUUCGUGCCAGCAGCCGCGGUAAUACGAAGGGGGCUAGCGUUGUUCGGAAUCACUGGGCGUAAAGCGCGCGUAGGCGGACUUUUAAGUCAGGGGUGAAAUCCCGGGGCUCAACCUCGGAACUGCCUUUGAUACUGGAAGUCUUGAGUUCGAGAGAGGUGAGUGGAAUACCGAGUGUAGAGGUGAAAUUCGUAGAUAUUCGGUGGAACACCAGUGGCGAAGGCGGCUCACUG